AUUGAACGCUGGCGGCAUGCCUUACACAUGCAAGUCGAACGGCAGCAUGGAAGAGCUUGCUCUUCUGAUGGCGAGUGGCGAACGGGUGAGUAAAGCAUCGGAACGUACCGUGUAGUGGGGGAUAACGUAGCGAAAGUUACGCUAAUACCGCAUACGCACUGAGGUGGAAAGCAGGGGAUCGCAAGACCUUGCGCUAUACGAGCGGCCGAUGUCAGAUUAGCUAGUUGGUAGGGUAAAGGCCUACCAAGGCGACGAUCUGUAGCGGGUCUGAGAGGAUGAUCCGCCACACUGGGACUGAGACACGGCCCAGACUCCUACGGGAGGCAGCAGUGGGGAAUUUUGGACAAUGAGCGAAAGCCUGAUCCAGCCAUGCCGCGUGAGUGAAGAAGGCCUUCGGGUUGUAAAGCUCUUUCGGCUGGGAAGAAAUCGCACAGGCUAAUACUCUGUGUGGAUGACGGUACCAGCACAAGAAGCACCGGCUAACUACGUGCCAGCCGCCGCGGUAA
RNAcentral lists this ribosomal RNA (506 nucleotides) under uncultured bacterium. RNAcentral's name for it is "partial 16S ribosomal RNA". It matches the Rfam family "Bacterial small subunit ribosomal RNA", at positions 30 to 523 of the family's 1533-position model. The record is from RNAcentral.